UCAAAAAUUCCGGAACGGUUUCUGACGCUCAGAGGCAACCGAUCUACUGGAAAUUUAUUCGGAAGAAAUAAAGUACAAGGAAUGCAGAAAGAAAUUUUUAAAACGGAUGGGAGGGCCCCAAAUCAAUAUCCCGAGAAUCUCUUCAUGCCUAACAUGGCGAUCCGAGGCCAAUAUUGAGAUUCACCGUCGGAAAAGACAAUUAUUUUGUUACGAGUCUACGGAAAGCCAAAAGCUAAUAGUUUCGACGUCGGUGUAGAAGUUAGACUUUGCAGUGAAAGAUGAAUCGCCUAGUAAAGGUCAACAACUGGAAACCUCGAAACGUAUCCCAAGGAUAAUAGGUGCGUU
Long non-coding RNA from Uranotaenia lowii, 345 nucleotides. RefSeq lists it as uncharacterized. The record is from RefSeq and is a predicted model, not a curated record. The transcript is spliced from 3 exons. NCBI's taxonomy places the organism in Eukaryota, Metazoa, Arthropoda, Insecta, Diptera, Culicidae.